Molecule: small nucleolar RNA, 122 nt
Organism: Marmota flaviventris (yellow-bellied marmot)
Lineage: Eukaryota; Metazoa; Chordata; Mammalia; Rodentia; Sciuridae
Source: RefSeq, a predicted model, not a curated record
GAGCACUGCUGAUAACCUGUUAACCUGGCUAAAUAGCUAAUGGGUUCCAUUCCUGUGCUACAGUACAUUCCAAUGACACAUGACAGACUGAUGGCUUUCAGUUUCAGCUCUUAGAGACAAAA